UACGUAGGGUGCAAGCGUUAAUCGGAAUUACUGGGCGUAAAGCGUGCGCAGGCGGUUGUGCAAGACAGAUGUGAAAUCCCCGGGCUCAACCUGGGAAUUGCAUUUGUGACUGCACGGCUAGAGUGUGUCAGAGGGGGGUAGAAUUCCACGUGUAGCAGUGAAAUGCGUAGAGGUGUGGAGGAAUACCGAUGGCGAAGGCAGCCCCCCUGGGAUAACACUGACGCUCAUGCACGAAAGCGUGGGGAGCAAACAGG
Molecule: ribosomal RNA, 254 nt
Filed under: uncultured bacterium
Lineage: Bacteria
Description: partial 16S ribosomal RNA
Rfam family: Bacterial small subunit ribosomal RNA
Source: RNAcentral